Molecule: long non-coding RNA, 525 nt
Organism: Gossypium arboreum
Lineage: Eukaryota; Viridiplantae; Streptophyta; Magnoliopsida; Malvales; Malvaceae
Exons: 2
Source: RefSeq, a predicted model, not a curated record
AUGGGUUAGGUAAAUGUUUCAUGAUAAUGGGUUAGGUAAAUGUUUCAUGAUAAGAAUUUCAUGUCUUUUGUAUUAAAGAAUUAAAUGGAUGAAAUAUGAAGUUUUAUUAAAAGAAAAAGGGGUGAAAAGAACAAAGUUUUGUCCAUCUUUGUUCAUCAUAGCUGAAAGUUAGAGAAGAGAAAGGAGAGGAGAAAGCUCUUGAGUAUUUGGUCAUUAGGAGGAGGAAAAUUGAAGGUAAUCCCCAACCAUAGUGGGCUUGGAGAUGUGAGGGAAUUCGGAGUGGCCACCCAUUCUGAAAGUUUGAUUUUCUUCUGGUGAACUGGACAUCCUUUUAAUUACGUUUGAGGUUUUGGGCUUUUAAAUGUAAUAAGGCCGCUUAUUUAUUUUUGAUGGUUUUUAAUAUGUAUUACUAAGAUAGGUAAUACUUAUUUUAACUGUUGAAAUUGGAUAGCUUUAGGGCGCGUUUUCAAAAACAACAGUUGAUUUCAAAAUAACACGACAACAAGCAAAGCUUCCGCAAUGAAA